Small nucleolar RNA from Pipistrellus kuhlii (Kuhl's pipistrelle), 120 nucleotides. RefSeq annotates it as small nucleolar RNA SNORA61. Lineage: Eukaryota; Metazoa; Chordata; Mammalia; Chiroptera; Vespertilionidae. The transcript has a single exon. The record is from RefSeq and is a predicted model, not a curated record.
ACCCUCCGGUUCCCUUUCCCAUCGGAUCUGAACACCGAUCUUGGUGGUCGUAGAGGAGGAAGAGUAACAGUGAGGCUGGCCUCAUGGUGCUUGUAACCUGUGGGCCAGUUUCAGACAAGG